GAUGAACGCUGGCGGCGUGCCUAACACAUGCAAGUCGAACGAACAGACGCGGUCCUUGCCUCUCUGAUGUCAGCGGCGGACGUAAUACUAACAAACGGACACCCUACCUAUAGGACAGGGAUAACUUCGGGAACUCGGAGCUCAUACCGUCUAAGAUAUAGAACCGCAUGGCUCACUACUGAAAGUCGCCUUUGCCGUUUCUUAUAGACGGUUCCGCGCCGCAUUAGCUAGUUGGUAAGGUAACGGCUUACCAAGGCGACGAUGCGUAGCCGACCUGAGAGGAUGAUCGGCCACACUGGAACUGAGACACGGUCCAGACUCCUACGGGAGGCAGCAGUAGGGAAUCUUCCGCAAUGGGCGAAAGCCUGACGGAGCAACGCCGCGUGAGGGAUGAAGGUCUUCGGGUCGUAAACCGCUGUUAGUAGGAAAGAACAAGUGUGUGCGUAACUCUGCACGUAUUGACGGUACCUGCACAGAAAGCCACGGCUAACUACGUG
Molecule: ribosomal RNA, 497 nt
Filed under: uncultured bacterium
Lineage: Bacteria
Description: partial 16S ribosomal RNA
Rfam family: Bacterial small subunit ribosomal RNA
Source: RNAcentral